CUGAAAUGCAGGUGUUGAGAGCAGAUCGCGGGC
This 33-nucleotide small RNA is filed under the name Bombyx mori (domestic silkworm). RNAcentral's name for it is "ovarian small RNA-14840". Lineage: Eukaryota; Metazoa; Arthropoda; Insecta; Lepidoptera; Bombycidae. The record is from RNAcentral.